Molecule: long non-coding RNA, 3841 nt
Organism: Caretta caretta (loggerhead turtle)
Lineage: Eukaryota; Metazoa; Chordata; Testudines; Cheloniidae
Source: RefSeq, a predicted model, not a curated record
CGCAUUCAUAAAUAAAGAAAACACUGAGUAGUCAUUCGCAGAUUCUCGGCAAUGAAAAUGACAAAUUCUAAGAUUCGGAGAAAUAUGUUGGGCUGGGCUUGGAUUUUCUAACUGGUAACUGUGCAUAUAUGUUAAUCACCAAGUGCCCUGAGUGCAUGAAGAAAAUGCAUAUAUCCUCGUGGUAAUUGCACGAUUUGCUGCAUUAUGUUAUUGAACACAGUUCUUAACUAAACCCCUUGGCUCAGAUUCAUCCAUUUAUGUCGAUGGAGUGAAGGAUUUUACCCUUUGUCUUCCUAUCAGAAAUGCCUCCAGCCUCACAGCAAUUGAAAUAUGAUAGAAAAAAUGAUCCAUUCCAUUUUUCAGUGCUGAAUAAUGUCCUGCUCUCUGAAGCCUUCCUAAAAGCCAGACCACUUUUAUCUUCCUCUACCAGCACAUUAAAAAUGAAAGCUGACACUGUCUGAGGCUGAUCUCUGGUAAAGGAAUGAGAUAGCAUAUCCCUCAUGAAGAAAAGCAUCCUGGGCGUGGCAGGAGAACGCUAGGGGGGUUCUCCAAGGGCUGUGACACAUAAGCCUGCACUCUGGUUCAGGUCUCCUAAGGUGCGGGUCUCAUCACAGGAGAACAUCUGGACAAUGUGACACUCAAUGCCAUCACAGGAGGCUAAGAACUUGAAAUACUGCUGUGUCUCUGAGCUGCAAAAGUUUUCUGUGUUUGCGUAAACUCAUCCGUUUAGCCAUACAGCUCAUAAAACAUUGUGAUCACAGAAGAUCCAGCAUAGGAGUUGAACACAGCAGUCAUUUCUCGGCAUCGUUAGACAUUGUUUAGAAGAUUGUUGAUGGGAUUUUGGUCUUUUGCUGCAUACACCACCUUAAUCACAUCACUGAUGCCACCAAAGCUUUCAAUGGAUAACAGAGGAGUCCGUAAUACCUGCUCUAAGCACAGUUGGUAUGGUCAGAGGGAUACACAAACUUCUCCGGAACAGCCAUUGAAAUCUUCUGAAUCUCACUCUUGUUGAAAUGACUGCAGUAAAGAGACCGUGGACAGCCAUAAAAUAUUGGGAUGAAGAUAUCAGCAGAGCGUGGGAUCAUCAGGAUGGGCUUGGGGCUAAGGUCUGCAUCCCGGUAGAGUUCAACAAUUUCCAUUUCUCCCGCUGUUCCAGCCCUGGAGCCUUCAUUCUGGAUAAUGGAAGGACAUAGAGGGGUUGCUUCUGUUAUCAGGUUUUCUCCCUGGCACAAUGACAAGUAGAAUGCACUGCAAAGGGCUAAGGCCAAGGAGAGGAUUUGGCAGGAGACUUGACUUUUUUGAGAGCUCAACAAUCAGUGUAUUGCAGGUCCGUAAGUGGAUUUGAGCCACAAGAUGGCAAAUGGCAAAAAUAGGACAGUCCUCAAAAAUUAGGAAAGACUAAUUAAUUAGUAGGUACAGCAAUUCCAGGACAGAGCUAUGGUCCACUCGGUCCAGUAGCCUUUGUCUGACUGGGGCCAGGAUGCUUCAGUGAAAGGAAUAAAAUCCACCUCAUGAAUUACAAUAAAUUCCCCAUAGUUUUGUAGAGAAUGUUCUCCAGUAAAUAACAAUGGGGAAGUUUUAACUUGAUCCCAUGUGUUUAGUGAUUCAUUGGCUUGUGCUCCAAAGUAUGAGGGAUUAUUUUCCUGAUUCAGUAACACAAUUAAGCAUGUGCUUAAGUGCUUUGCUGAAUCAGGGCCUAUCUCCCUUAGAAACUUGCUUUCUCUCUCAUAGAGCUACCAGAAAUAAUAAGGGAUCUGAAGGCAUCUCAGUGACAGGUGCAACUGAAAAGGGUUGGAGGUUCAAGCUGCAUAAGAUCAUUUUCCAAAUCUUGUCUAGAGUCUGAAUAAUUGGGCUGGAAAUCUCACAAGACUGGGUUCUCUAGUGAAGCUUCUGGGACCUCCUGCUUCUGUUUGGGCUGGAAAUAUUCUCAGAACAGCACAUCUCGUGAUAUUUCAGAACUGCCAGCUUUCUGUCCCAGCAGAUACCAGGGUAUGCAAACCCACCUUUGGGAGAAGACUAGAGGAGGGAGGGGAAGAUUAAUCAUUUUUUUGAAAUACCAGAAGAAGGAUCAGGGCAAAUAUGUGCUUUGGUUCUUCUUUAAAUCCAAACCAGAUUGUAUAUCUCUAGGGGAAACAUCAUCUUCAUUACUUGAAAUGCUGUAGAGGUGAGAAUUGAUUCAUUCUUCAGGCCUCGUCUCCACCAGAAAUUUGUACAAAUAUAGCUAAAAGUAAUAAAGUCCUCCUAGUGUGAACACAGUUAUACCAGCUUAUUACUGUAUGGGAAGGCAAAUAAGGUACACCAAUAUAAGGCAUUUUUACACCAGUAUAACACUGUUCACGUUAGGGCUUUUAGUGAUAUAACAAUACUGAUAACAAAAAAUCACACCCCGAGCUGAAAUAGUUAUUCUGGUAAAACUUUAGUGUAGACCAGGCCACAGGGAGGAUCUAAACUACCAGACAAAGAGGAGGAGGAGGAGGAGCUAGGCAAAGAAAGAAGAAGAAACAAACAAACCAGUUAUGGGAGAAAGUGAGAAACUUCCAUCAAAUCCUCGCCUGUCGAUACAAACCCCGCAAUUGUGAUUGGUGUUGCCUUAGGGUGAUCAGACAUCCCAAUUUUAUAUGGACAGUCCAGAUUUUGGGGUCUUUUUCUUAUAUAGGCUCCUAUUAUCCCGCCACCCCCGUCCUGACUUUUCACAUUUGCUGUCUGGUCACCCUAUGUUGCCUUCUUUAUUCAACCACUGCAGCCAAUGAAUCGACCCAGUGUACCUCCCAGCACCAAAAACUCAGUGUUUUCAAUGUCACUGACGCUUCACAAUUGGGGGAAAAAAUCAGGAAAACUUUCGAUGACAUUUUUGCAAAAAAAAAAAAAAAAAAAAAAUCCAGUUGUUUUGUGAUGGAGUGAGUCAAACCAUUUAUAAAGUAUAUAAAAGGCAUAACAAAUUUGAAAUAGUUUUCCUUUUUUCCCCAAUUACUGGGUUUUUGUCAACUAUUUUGUGAAAUCAUUUCCAAACGAUCUUCAAGCUCUUUCAUGGAUGAUAGCAAGACAGAGAUCCGGCUGACUAGUCUCAUUUCCUAAAAGAUCAUAGAAUAGAAUAUCAGGGUUAGAAGGGACCUCAGGAGGUCAUCUAGUCCAACCCCCUGCUAAAAGCAGGACCAGUCCCCAAUAUUUGCCCCAGAUCCCUAAACGGCCCCCUCAAGGGUUGAACUCACAACCCUGGGUUUAGCAGGCCAAUGCUCCCGCCAUGUAGAUAUAGGAGAGCUGCAGAGACAGCUGAUGAAAGAGACUGCAGGAGUGGUUGAAAGUAUUACCUCAUUUCUAGGUGUUAGGGCACCAGAGCAGAAGCAAGGGGUAUGUCUACACUACAAUUAAAAACCUGCCGCUGGCCAUGCCCUCUGACUUGGGCUCAUGGGACUCAGGCUAAGGGGCUGUUUAAUUGAGGUGUAGACACACAAGACUGGGCUCUAGGACUCUGCAAGGUCGGUGGGUCCCAGAACUUGGGCUGCAUCCAGAGCCUGAACAUCUAAACUGCAAUUAAACAGCCCCAUAACCUUAGUCCCAUGAGCCCAAAUUAGCUGGCCCAGGCCACCACAGGUUUCGAAUUACAGAGUAGAUAUACCCUGAGAGACCUGAGUUCAAUUUCCUGCUCUGACAUAGACUUCCUGUGUGACCAUGGGCAAGUCACUUAAUCCUUCUGUGCCUCAAUUCCCAAUCUGUAAAAUGGGGGUAGUAGCACUUCCCUAGGAUAAAUUCAUUAAAGAUUGUGAGGGACUCAUUUUACUAGGGUGAUGGAGGCCAUGUAAGUAAUUACUAUAGAUAGAUUUUUAGUUUACAGUGAAUACAA